This 22-nucleotide microRNA is filed under the name Mus musculus (house mouse). Its description in RNAcentral is "mmu-miR-5710". Lineage: Eukaryota; Metazoa; Chordata; Mammalia; Rodentia; Muridae. The record is from miRBase by way of RNAcentral.
UCUUGGGACAUAGUGUAAGGCA